GUUGUCCUGUGACACACUACAACAAUAAUACGGAAGAGGUGGGAAUCAGGUGACACCACUCGCGUACAGCUGAAUUGUAGUUCUGACAGUAAAAACCAGACUGCAUUAUGGAGGACCAGGAGAUGCAACUGAAAGUCAGAAGGGUGACUGACAAGUUCACGGAGAGCAUGUACGUCCUGGCUAACGAGCCGUCGGUGGCUCUCUACAGGCUGCAGGAGCACGUCAGGAGGUCGCUGCCAGAACUAGUCCAGCACAAGACAGAUAUGCAGAGCUGGGAGGAACAAAGUCAAGGAGCCAUCUACACUGUAGAGUACGCAUGCAGUGCCGUGAAGAGCAUGAACAACAGCAGCUUAUAUUUCAAAAACAUUGACAGUCUUCUCCGUCAAGCCAUCAGCAUGAAGGAACAGAUUAAUAAUUCUCAAGGGCGCAGGUAGGAGGCGGCAGUGAAUGUGUUCACUGAGACAUGGUGGUGAAAAAGCGCAACGUUGUUUUGAUCACACUGAAUGCUACAAAGUGGCUUUAAUCUUCUCGUUAGUAGCAGUUUUCCCUCUCAUUUUUUAGUUGAGAGGGAAAACUAACUAGUCAAGCUUUCCUGUCCUAUAUAGAGCCUAUAAGGGACAGGAAAGCUUGACUAGUUAUAACAGCCAUUAUCAUACACACCUUUGCUAAAAUGCAGAUCUCUACAAUAUGCUUUUUAUCAUCUUUAUCACUCAAAUAUCUAGGUAAUAUAACAAAGUUUUUUGCUUUGUCUUAUGCUUAUGUCAGUAUGUACUUCUCACAUUUUUUUUAAAAAUGAGAGAUAGUCACUGAGCAAUUAUUGUUAUCAGUACUUAAUGUAAAUACAUAAAGCCACAAAAAUUAUAGAAUAUUACUUUUUUGAUAAGAUCUCCAACGUCCUUAAGGCUAUAAAAAAUAUACUUGUGGGUCUUUAUAUGUUCACAUUUUUACUCCCUCAGUAUCUAAAGGAUCAUUCUUUUUACGUAUUUGGGGUGACCAUGGCUCUGGUGGUAGAGCUGGUGUCAGACGAUUAGCUACCAAAUGGAAAGGUGGUGGAUCCAUCCACGGCUCCUACAGUGUGUUAGUUAAAAGCACUUAAGUAAAAAUAAAAGCACUGUAUGAAUAUGUGUGUGGUUGGGUGAUGAGACUUGGAGUAGAAAGCACUUUCAGUGUUCAAAUUGAAAGUGCCAGGCCAUUUACAAUUUACGUAACUGUUUUUUGCACUACAUCAUAUCGUUCAUCAUUUGUUUUUAUUUAUUUUAUUUAUUAUUUAUUUUAUUGUAUCCUUCAUCUAAUGUAAUAUAUCAUUUAAUAUAUGGCUUUUCAUUAAAGUUUGUUUCUCCUGCAACUUCAAAUUUGUAAUCCAGACAUUUCUGAAUACUUUGUAAUUACUAGAAGCGUCAUACUUUCUGUUUGAUUUGUCUGUUGUUUUUAUUUUAUUUUCCACCUUUUUUCCCUCCCACACUGACAACUGCAUGCAGCUUAAAUGAUGUGAGUCCCUGUCCCAGCCCCACUGUCACUGCUCCACAUGCCCCAUCCACUUCCUCAUGACAGACAGAGGUGUCCAAGGAAAAGGACAAUGGACUCAGGCAUGCUGAAGGAGGUGGGAGAAAAGCACAACUCUGGGAUGUGAUGCGACUUCCUAAGUUGGUGGCGUUGCCUUUAAAGUCUUGCCCUACCUAUUGACUGUGGCUGAAGUGGGUUCAGAAGGGCAACACCUCCUCAUCACAAUAGAGUGGCUGCCUACACUGACCCCCCCCACCCCCCGUACAAGCCUCUCAGUGGAACAGAGCAUACCAGUGCUGCUAGGUUCAGCAUUAAAAACACUUAAGUCAUGGCUGCUCAAAGAAUGCAUUGUUCUGUUGGACUCACUGGUCGGUUCAGGGAGACAGCAGCACUGCUGUUUUGCCACUGCUGUUGAAAGUCCACUGCACAGCCAAUGUUUUUAAAGUUAGUUCUUUUUUUAUGCGUUUGUUCUGUUUAACAUUUUGCCAGAUGGUACAACAUAUGCUUAUACAAAAAUACAGAUCCUUUUUUUAUUGCUCAGGCUUACCUAUUAAAUAGACAGAAACCCCCAGACAGAAGAGUCCAAUAGCCACAUGUCGUACAGCUCUGCUGUCCAGAAGGAACCAGUCUGCUCUGUUAAAAGAAAUCUGAUCUGUUUAGUGCACAAGGACAUUGCAUUACUUAAAAUAACAACAAUAUAUUUUGUUUUGUUUUUGAUAUGUUCAUUUUCUUUGCUACAUAAUAAAGUUAUAACUUUUUGUCCUGCAAAAUUAGGGCUAUUUGUUUGUUGUUUAUUUUUAUAAAUGCUUGGUCAUUUGUGCCAUGGAUUUAAAAUUUCUAGGAAUGUCUCCAUUGUCAGGGAGGUGCUGUGGUAUGCCGUUAGAUUUGUAAACCGACGUGGGAAAGGGCCAGCUAGAGGCUGUGUGUUGGGUACAUAAUGAGAGGAAAUCCAUUGUUUAGCUGGGAUUCAUAAAGGGUUAGAGAGGUGUGUGUGUGUGGGGGGGGAACCAACAGCACUGCAAUGCGGGCCUCUGCAAUCUUGCACAGGACACCCAUUUUAUCCUUUUGAAACUAUGUUUUCUUUGCACGAAACCUAAUUGGUACAUUUACUAUUCAAGAUAGGACUGUGGUUUGCAGGGUUAACAAUUGAAAAACAUGUGGGCACAAGGAGAAGUGUGACAUGAGCACCUCGACAGUGCACUAUCCUCAAAAUAGGAACCCAUAUAGGAUGUUGUGCAAAGCAGCAGUCUCAUAAUAAGUUACCGCACCUGAAAUGUUAAGCUUUUUGAAGCAGCUGAUCUUAAUUCCAUACUUAGAUUAAGUGUAGUGCUUUGCGUCUUAUUAAAAUAUAUGUCGUCAUGUUAGUUUUACACUUUGCAUGUGUAAAGGAGAAUGAAAGUAAAAGUUGAAAUAAUCUGCAGCCUUAAAACCUUGGACAAAGUUAAACUGAGAUCUCUUACACCCUGCAAAACACAAAGAGGGAAAUGAAGUUUAGUCAUGGUGUGUUGUAUCGUAUUGGAUUUAUUUGGCAUGCAUUUAAGGGUUUUUUUGUUUUUUUUCGUUUUUUACUCUUAUUGCCAUUUAUUUAGUUUUUAUUUAGUAACACAUCACAUCACCCAUAAGUGACUGAGACAGGACUCUCUUCUAGACACUCUAAACCCACCGGCACAAUGUACAUUUCAAAUUCCUUUAAUUUUAAACAUGUUCAUAAUGUGUAUUUUGUAAAAUAGUGAGAUUGUCUAUUCUUAUUUAAUUCACUUAAUGUACAGAAUUCACCUGCUUGCUGCAAACAUGCUACUACUGCACAUUCACCUAAUGUAUAUAUUAUAUAUAAUGUUCUUAUACUUGUAUAACUAUGCAUGUGACAAAUAAAGAACCUUGAACUUUGAACCUUGCUUUGCGAACAGUACUCGACUACUUUAACAAGGCCUAGGGGUGAGGGGGCAAAAAACGCGCAGUGCUGCUUCAGAGGUCGCCUUUCUGGGUAAAUAGUGGUUUUCUUAACUGUCAAAGGUGUGUCACAACUGACCGGAACUGCCUGUUUGAAAAAAACGGAUCGAGAUUAGGAAGAAAAAAAAUGGAAAUGAGCACAGUGGCUUUGAGUGCUACCACAGCUGCAGGUGCUGUCUAACAGGUGGUCGAAAAGAAAUGCCUUAACGCGCAAGAACAAAUACCUUUCUG
Molecule: RNA transcript, 3684 nt
Organism: Haplochromis burtoni (Burton's mouthbrooder)
Lineage: Eukaryota; Metazoa; Chordata; Actinopteri; Cichliformes; Cichlidae
Gene: borcs8
Gene name: BLOC-1 related complex subunit 8
Exons: 5
Source: RefSeq, a predicted model, not a curated record